UUUAGAACUCGGCAUUCAUGUUGUUGUUUUUCUUUGUGCACGAAUUAUUUUAUGGGGUGUUGUCCAACUUGACUCUUUUUCACUCAAUUUUUUUUUCUUUUGAGCAUCACAUUAAAGCACGAGUCUAUGGCCUAGGCAAGUGCUUAUACUUCAUCUCUUUCCAUUUCUUUUCUCUUUUUUUUUUCUUCGGUAGAAGCAGA
RNAcentral lists this long non-coding RNA (200 nucleotides) under Lathyrus oleraceus (garden pea). RNAcentral's name for it is "Pisum sativum (pea) long non-coding RNA (PSAT_LNC004438)". The record is from RNAcentral. Lineage: Eukaryota; Viridiplantae; Streptophyta; Magnoliopsida; Fabales; Fabaceae.